UACGAAGGGGGCUAGCGUUGUUCGGAAUUACUGGGCGUAAAGCGCACGUAGGCGGUUGACACAGUCAGAUGUGAAAGCCCCGGGCUCAACCCGGGAAUAGCAUUUGAUACUGGUCGACUCGAGGUCGGAAGAGGAGAGUGGAAUUCCCAGUGUAGAGGUGAAAUUCGUAGAUAUUGGGAAGAACACCAGUGGCGAAGGCGGCUCUCUGGUCCGAUACUGACGCUGAGGUGCGAAAGCGUGGGGAGCAAACAGG
Molecule: ribosomal RNA, 253 nt
Filed under: uncultured bacterium
Lineage: Bacteria
Description: partial 16S ribosomal RNA
Rfam family: Bacterial small subunit ribosomal RNA
Source: RNAcentral